UACAGAGGGGGCAAGCGUUGUUCGGAAUUACUGGGCGUAAAGGGCGCGUAGGCGGCUUUGCAAGUGACGGGUGAAAGCCCUCGGCUUAACCGAGGAACUGCCUGUCAGACUGUAAGGCUUGAGACCGGGAGAGGUGAGUGGAAUUCCCAGUGUAGCGGUGAAAUGCGUAGAUAUUGGGAGGAACACCAGUGGCGAAGGCGGCUCACUGGACCGGAACUGACGCUGAGGCGCGAAAGCGUGGGGAGCAAACAGG
Molecule: ribosomal RNA, 253 nt
Filed under: uncultured bacterium
Lineage: Bacteria
Description: partial 16S ribosomal RNA
Rfam family: Bacterial small subunit ribosomal RNA
Source: RNAcentral